UACGAAGGGGGCUAGCGUUGCUCGGAAUCACUGGGCGUAAAGGGUGCGUAGGCGGGUUUUUAAGUCAGGGGUGAAAUCCUGGAGCUCAACUCCGGAACUGCCUUUGAUACUGGCGAUCUUGAGUUCGAGAGAGGUGAGUGGAACUGCGAGUGUAGAGGUGAAAUUCGUAGAUAUUCGCAAGAACACCAGUGGCGAAGGCGGCUCACUGGCUCGAUACUGACGCUGAGGUGCGAAAGCGUGGGGAGCAAACAGG
Molecule: ribosomal RNA, 253 nt
Filed under: uncultured bacterium
Lineage: Bacteria
Description: partial 16S ribosomal RNA
Rfam family: Bacterial small subunit ribosomal RNA
Source: RNAcentral